Molecule: ribosomal RNA, 425 nt
Filed under: Verrucomicrobiota bacterium
Lineage: Bacteria; Pseudomonadati; Verrucomicrobiota
Description: Verrucomicrobia bacterium partial 16S ribosomal RNA
Rfam family: Bacterial small subunit ribosomal RNA
Source: RNAcentral
UGAGGAAUAUUGGUCAAUGGGCGAGAGCCUGAACCAGCCAAGUCGCGUGAAGGAAGACUGCCCGCAAGGGUUGUAAACUUCUUUUGUAUGGGAUUAAAGUCACCUACGUGUAGGUGUUUGCAGUUACCAUACGAAUAAGCAUCGGCUAACUCCGUGCCAGCAGCCGCGGUAAUACGGAAGGUCCGGGCGUUAUCCGGAUUUAUUGGGUUUAAAGGGAGUGUAGGCGGCCUGUUAAGCGUGUUGUGAAAUGUAGAUGCUCAACAUCUGAACUGCAGCGCGAACUGGCUGGCUUGAGUACACGCAACGUGGGCGGAAUUCAUGGUGUAGCGGUGAAAUGCUUAGAUAUCAUGAGGAACUCCUAUUGCGAAGGCAGCUCACGGGAGUGUCACUGACGCUUAAGCUCGAAGGUGCGGGUAUCAAACAGG